RNAcentral lists this ribosomal RNA (253 nucleotides) under uncultured bacterium. RNAcentral's name for it is "partial 16S ribosomal RNA". It matches the Rfam family "Bacterial small subunit ribosomal RNA", at positions 524 to 776 of the family's 1533-position model. The record is from RNAcentral.
UACGAGGGGUCCUAGCGUUGUUCGGAAUCAUUGGGCGUAAAGCGGGUGUAGGCGGAUCAGUCAGUCAGAUGUGAAAUCCCAGGGCUCAACCCUGGACGUGCAUUUGAUACUGCUGAUCUUGAGUAUCAGAGAGGUUCGUGGAAUUCCGGGUGUAGUGGUGAAAUACGUAGAUAUCCGGAGGAACAUCGGUGGAGAAGUCGGCGGACUGGCUGAAUACUGACGCUCAGACCCGAAAGCGUGGGGAGCAAACAGG